This 496-nucleotide ribosomal RNA is filed under the name uncultured bacterium. RNAcentral describes it as "partial 16S ribosomal RNA". It matches the Rfam family "Bacterial small subunit ribosomal RNA", at positions 29 to 507 of the family's 1533-position model. The record is from RNAcentral.
AUGCACGCUGGCGGCGUGCCUAAUACAUGCAAGUCGAGCGAACAGACGAGGAGCUUGCUCCUCUGACGUUAGCGGCGGACGGGUGAGUAACACGUGGAUAACCUACCUAUAAGACUGGGAUAACUUCGGGAAACCGGAGCUAAUACCGGAUAAUAUAUUGAACCGCAUGGUUCAAUAGUGAAAGACGGUUUUGCUGUCACUUAUAGAUGGAUCCGCGCCGCAUUAGCUAGUUGGUAAGGUAACGGCUUACCAAGGCGACGAUGCGUAGCCGACCUGAGAGGGUGAUCGGCCACACUGGAACUGAGACACGGUCCAGACUCCUACGGGAGGCAGCAGUAGGGAAUCUUCCGCAAUGGGCGAAAGCCUGACGGAGCAACGCCGCGUGUGUGAUGAAGGUCUUCGGAUCGUAAAACUCUGUUAUUAGGGAAGAACAAAUGUGUAAGUAACUAUGCACGUCUUGACGGUACCUAAUCAGAAAGCCACGGCUAACUACGUG